Molecule: RNA transcript, 20088 nt
Organism: Homo sapiens (human)
Lineage: Eukaryota; Metazoa; Chordata; Mammalia; Primates; Hominidae
Gene: SULT1E1
Gene name: sulfotransferase family 1E member 1
Exons: 9
Source: RefSeq, marked reviewed
AGAAGUGGUUCUCAUCUUUUUUUGCAGCUUAAGAUCUGCCUUGGUAUUUGAAGAGAUAUAAACUAGAUCAAUUUCUUUCACAGGAUCAACUAAACAGUGUACCACAAUGAAUUCUGAACUUGACUAUUAUGAAAAGUUUGAAGAAGUCCAUGGGAUUCUAAUGUAUAAAGAUUUUGUCAAAUAUUGGGAUAAUGUGGAAGCGUUCCAGGCAAGACCAGAUGAUCUUGUCAUUGCCACCUACCCUAAAUCUGGUACAACCUGGGUUAGUGAAAUUGUGUAUAUGAUCUAUAAAGAGGGUGAUGUGGAAAAGUGCAAAGAAGAUGUAAUUUUUAAUCGAAUACCUUUCCUGGAAUGCAGAAAAGAAAACCUCAUGAAUGGAGUAAAACAAUUAGAUGAGAUGAAUUCUCCUAGAAUUGUGAAGACUCAUUUGCCACCUGAACUUCUUCCUGCCUCAUUUUGGGAAAAGGAUUGUAAGAUAAUCUAUCUUUGCCGGAAUGCAAAGGAUGUGGCUGUUUCCUUUUAUUAUUUCUUUCUAAUGGUGGCUGGUCAUCCAAAUCCUGGAUCCUUUCCAGAGUUUGUGGAGAAAUUCAUGCAAGGACAGGUUCCUUAUGGUUCCUGGUAUAAACAUGUAAAAUCUUGGUGGGAAAAGGGAAAGAGUCCACGUGUACUAUUUCUUUUCUACGAAGACCUGAAAGAGGAUAUCAGAAAAGAGGUGAUAAAAUUGAUACAUUUCCUGGAAAGGAAGCCAUCAGAGGAGCUUGUGGACAGGAUUAUACAUCAUACUUCGUUCCAAGAGAUGAAGAACAAUCCAUCCACAAAUUACACAACACUGCCAGACGAAAUUAUGAACCAGAAAUUGUCGCCCUUCAUGAGAAAGGGAAUUACAGGAGACUGGAAAAAUCACUUUACAGUAGCCCUGAAUGAAAAAUUUGAUAAACAUUAUGAGCAGCAAAUGAAGGAAUCUACACUGAAGUUUCGAACUGAGAUCUAAGAAGGUCUUUCUUUACUUAACAUAUCUGAUAUUAAAGAUUUCUUUUCAUUAUUCUCCACUUUUUCUUAUUUUAGAUUGCUAGAAAAGACAUAAUCAUGGAUUAUGUUGACAUUUUCUUUUUAAAUUUUUGUUUAACUUUUUUUUUUUUUUUUUGAGACAGAGUCUCACUCUGUUGCCUAGGCUGGAGGACAGUGGCACAAUCAUGGCUGAUUGCAGCCUUGACCUCCUUGACUCAAUUGAUCCUCCCAUCUCAGCCUCCCAAGUAGCUAGGACUACAGACAUGUGCAACCAUGUUUGGCUAAUUUUUUUAAUGUUUUUUUGUAGAGAUGAGGUCUUAUUAUAUUGUCCAGGCUGGUCUUGAAUUCCUGGGCUCAAGCUUCCCAAGUAGCUGCAACAACAGGCACACACCACCAUGCUCAACUAAUUUUAUUUCUAUUUUUUGUAUAGACAGGGGCUUGCUAUAGUGUCCAGGCUGGUCUGAAACCCUUGAGCUCAAGUGAUCUUCCCACACCAGCCUCCCAAAAUACUGGGAUUACAGGCUUGAGCCUCCAUGCCUGGCCCAGGUAACAUGUUUAUUGAGCUGUACAUGCAUAUGAGAAAUAAGAAACUUUUUUUUCCUACUAUCAUCUCUUAAAUUUUGUUUUCUUUUUCUUUUGCUUCCUCUUCUUCUUUUCUAUUUUUUAUAAAUAUCAUGCACAACUAUAACCUAUGGGAAUGAUGUAGUAACACAGAUUAUUCAUCUUGUUAGAGUUGUAUUAAAAAUAAACAAGCAUUUCAAAUUAUUUUUGUGAUUGAUUUUCCAUUUAGUAGGACAUUAGUAUAUAAUAAAAAUGGUGCAUGAACUUUGAAGACUCUGGAAGAAAGAAUGAAAUAAUAUAUAAAUAGGGGGCAUAACUAUAGCUAUGAUUUCCCUCCUUAUUUUCUUUUAUUUUCUUUUUUUUUGAGACGGAGUCUCACUCUGUCUCCCAGGCUGCAGUGCAGUGGCGUGAUCUCUGCUCAUGCUCACUGCAAGCUCCACCUCCUGGGUUCCCGCCAUUCUCCUGCCUCAGCCUUCCAAGUAGCUGGGACUACAGGCGGCCGCCACCACGCCCGGCUAAUUUUUUGUAUUUUUAGUAGAGACGGGGUUUCACAGUGUUAGCCAGGAUGGUCUCGAUCUCCUGACCUCGUGAUCCACCCGCCUCAGCCUCCCAAAGUGCUGGGAUUACAGGCGUGAGCCACCGCGCCUGGCCCAUUUUCUUUUACUUUCAACAAAAUGAGUUAAUUUUAAAUUUACCUUAGUCUAACUCCAAUUUUUCAACAUAACACAACAGAUUUCCAAACAUCCAAAAAUAAUUCCAAUGAGUGUGAUUUAUCUUCAGCUAGUUUGAAAUAUUUAUGCUUUAGGGUUCCUUCUGUCCUAUAUGCAAUCCAACAAAUGUAAAUAUUGUAAAAUAAGUUUUAAAGAAUAAGAUAUUUGGCAGUAAAAUAUAACAAAAACAGAAGAAAAAAGAAUUAAAAUUUUUUAUUGUUUUUUAUUUAAAACAUCUUCUAUUUUUAAAAUUGUAUUCUUUUUCUGUACUAUGUUUAGUCAAUGCUUCCUUUCACUAACACAGAGGAGACACAAGAUCAUUACAUAUUUACUUAGGGUCUUCAGUAGAAUGCUUAUCUAGACUACAAUAGACUAAAAGGCCAAAUCUGGGGAGAAAUCCAGAUGAUUUAUUUUCUUACUUUUUGGAGAAAAGUCCAUGGAUUUCUGAGCACCCUAUUCAAUAGUUAUAGUUUUUAAGAAUCAAAGCUUUUUUUUAAUGUUUAAUAUAGUUAUUAAUUAUACAAAAAUUGGAGAGUCUUGGAAAAUAUUAAGAUAUUGUUGAGGACAGUGUUUACCGGGGGAAUCAGAAUCAAUCCCUGAAAACAAUUGUUUUACAUUUUUUAUGUGCCCAUUUAGUCAUAAUUUUUAAAAUUUCACAUUAUAAUGUCCAAUAACUUUUUUAGAAUGCAUUUUGUAAGAUUCAUAGUGAUGUUGCCCACAUUAUAAUUGACGUAAGUAAGCAAUAAUAAACCUACGUAUAUUUCUGACAUCAGUCCUUGGUGGAACAACACAUUCCAGUUUAGCCUGAAUAAAAUUUGGACCAACUAUAUCUUUCCAAAGCUUGCCAAGAAACUUCUGUAUCUUCUUUGGAGAAGUAAUACGGCUGGGAUCUAGCUUCAAUUUCACGUAGAAACUUCAACACCUUUAGAUUAUUGGCAUCUUCCUGGAGCUGGGCUUACAGUCCAUAUGGACUGGAGACAAUGAAAACCUUGGACGGCAUCAUGUGGUAAAAUACAUAGGGGUGGCCAAUGUAGCUUUGGUUCUGUGCUUCCAAGAAAGCUACAGAAUUUUUUUACCUCAUUGCUUAAUAUUUCCUAAUAAUUAUAUCUCUAGAACAAUGCCUUCAGGCCCAGAUAAAUUCACAGAAAUACUUUUUAAAGGUUUAUGGACUGACUGAUUAAUACCAUGUGUUAUCAUUUGAAUGUGUUCCCCAAAAGUUUAUGUAUUGAAAACUCAAUUAAUCUGCCCUCAUAAAUGGAUUAAUUGAUUAAUGAGAGCUCUGCACUCAUGAAUGGAUUGGUGUCACUAUCCCAGGAGUGGGUUCAUUAUUGCCAGAGAGACUUUAUUACAAAAGUGAGUCCUCUCUGGCUCUUACUGUCUCACAUAUGAUGCCUUUUAUGUUAUGUUGCAGCAAAAAGGCCCUCACCAGAUGCCAAUGGCAUGCUCUUGGACUUUUCAGUUUCCCAAACUAAGCCAAACAAACUUCUGGAUUUUGUAAAUCCCAGUUUAUGUUGUUCUGUUAUAGUGACAGAAAAUAGACAUUCUGUCAACACUAGGAAGUACUCAGUUAGCACUUAUGGGUGUGGUAAUUGCUCAUAAUUGGAGCCAUCCCAUAAAGUUCAUCCAUAUGGUUAAAAUACCUAAGAAUUCAACUUGAGCAACGAAUAAAUGAAGUAGUAUGAGACUAUGCCUGACAGCAUAAAAUAAACAAGCAUCCGUGUUGAUAUAAAUAAAUGAUUAAAUAAUUAAAUGUGGUAAAUAAAUAUACCAUACAGAAGAAUUUCACCUACUUAUGUAUAGUUCCCCGUGCCAUUCCUUAAGUGUGAGAUCCAUAUUGGGACUUUCUUAUAAAGGGCAAGUGCAGUAUGAGGGGAAGAGUAACUUUGGAGUGGAGAAACCCUACCUCAGCCAGGUAAUUCCCCUUUUGUAUAUAACUAAUUACCUGAUCAGGCAGAUCACCUUCUAUGUCCUGCUCUCUAUCAGACCUCUGAUCUCACUGCCACUUUCCAUUCCCCAGGCAUGCUACUUGUCUGCUAGGCCUCUGAAACUCCUUAGCCCCUUGUAUGCUACCAUUUUCAAGGGAACAAAGGGAAAGAAAAAGAAAAGAGAAAAUAAAUUUUCACUUAUUUUUAGGUCUAAUGUCUUCAGGGUCCAGUAAAAGUACAGCGUCAUAAAAGACCUCCUUCUGCUCCCUUUGCUGACACCUACCUUAGCCUCGUAAGCCAGAAGACUUGAAAAGGUUCUGGUCCACAUCUCAGACUGCAAAACAAGCAAGAAGAUUUAUUAUGAAUCAGAGUUGUUUGUGCUCUCAGGAAGGAAGAUAAUGAUCUAACCAAUCUCUUUCACUGGGAACUGUUUUCUGAAUAUUAUAAGGCCCCAGGGAUUCCAGAUGGAAUACAGUAUAAUUAACUCUUCACCACCAAAUACCUAUGUUAGAAGACCUUGAGAAUAAAUGAUUGCCUAAUAGCAAAUGGCAUCCUACUUCUUGACUACACUUGCACCUGAGGAUACAAAAGGACAAGGUGUAUUUAACCUUAGAAUGUCUCUAUAAGAUGAAAACAAGUAAGUGCAAUUAUCUCCACUUAAAGUCUAAAGUUGGCAAACACUUAUAAGAUAAAUGACUUGCUCAAGACUGACUAGGAGGAAGAGUUUUAGUAUAAAAACUUAAACUCAUUAUCUCUUUUUUACAUGGGACUGAAUGGAGGAUUGAGAAUGGCUCUUUAUGUGGAAGAUAACAUAUUUAAUAUAUUUUCUUUCGUUUUAAGGCAGUAUUGAAAUGAAAAAAGAAUAAACUUCUAGAUUCUGAUAGUAUACAUGGUAAUAAUGUAAUCAUUUUAGUAAUAAUUAAGCUAUAUUGGGUAAUUUUUGCAUGCCAAACAGCAUACUGCAUAUUUACAUGUUAAAUCAUUCCUUUUAUGAAAUUUUAACAAUGACAAUGAUGUAAUAGCAAUGAUUCUAUGAAGAAUCUGCUAAGAUAAAGAAGCCUAGGCCAGGAACUGUGGCUCAUGUCUGUAACCUCAGCACACUGGGACGCCAAGGAGGGAGAAUAGCUUGAGGCCAGGAGUUUGAGACCAGCCUGGGCAAAACAGCCUAGUUUCUACAAAACAACCCAGUCUCUACAAAAAUAAAAAUAACAUAAAUAAAUAAAUAAUCCUCUACUCAAUAACAAAGUUCAUUUGCCCAAGGAUACGUAUUUGGUAACUGAACAUUUCUAAUGAUAAUAUGAAUUUCAAAACUAUUAUUAUUAGUUUGAAAUGUUAGUGUAUGAUAUAGAAAUCAUACCUAUCAAUCAGUAUUCAGUAAAUAUUUAUCUUCUACAUUUAUUUUCUUUAAUAAUAUACCUUGGUCACUAUUCCUGUUUAUUAUUACACCUUUAUCUUCCUUACAUUCCCAGUCAUAGCCUUUCUAUCUCCACUUAUCAUAAAUUCAGUUUGAAUCUUCCAGUUCUCCAAAUAGACAUAAUGGUUAUCUUUCUCUGUUUCUAACACUUUUGUAACAGUUCAAGUUAUUCUCUCUAUUUAAGAUCCAGUGGUGACAAAGUGUUAAGUGCUGAGCAUGCAAAGACAGUAAGACACGCACAGUUCCACUUUUAUGGAAUUUAUAAUGUAAUGCCACAUAAAUUAAACAAUCAACUCUAAUAUUAGUCAUAUGCAUUUAGCAUGACAACAGGAUGCUUUGGAAACACAUAAAGGAUACGUACCCAAAUAAUGGAAAGUUUCUUAGGGAAAGUGAUAUGGAAACUGAAGGACAGUUAGCAAUCAGCUGGGCAAUAAUGGAGCAUGAUGUUCUGGGCAGAGGGAAAAAUAUGUGUGAAGGACUAGGUAAAAGAGUUUAGGGUAAUAUAAUUCAGAAUAUGUGAUGCAGAAAGUAAGAGGUAAGGAUGGAGUUAUGCAUAUGCCUGAUAGUAAAGAAACUUGAGAGCAUUAAUAAAGAAUAUAAAAUUUUUGACUUCUUGAUAUGGUAACAAUUCUUCAGCAGCUUUGUAACCAGCAGAUUCAGUGGAGUAUCAUGAUAAGUAUAGGGAGAGGAUCCAUGUUGUCAGAAAAUGAGGGGCGAAAUAGAAAUGAGGAAAUAGAAACAGCGAUUUUCCCUGUGACUGCAAGAUAUUUAUUGGGAAAUUUACGUAAAUUUUAUGAUCCUACUAUUAAUAUUACCACUGGAUUAGAUUUAUAAUAAGGAUAUCUUUCUGCUCUUUUUCCUUCUAUACUUUCUUCUCCUGCUGAUGCUACUGUUACUACUACAACUGUGAUAGACACCUUUUUUUAAGCACUUCAGAGGAAUAAAACAGGUGAAUUAACUCAUUGGUUCUCACAAACUGGUGAUUUACCAAGAUCACUCUGGCCUAAGAGUGGACCAUUUAUUAGAAGAAAUGGAUAAAGCAGUUAAGAAGCUGUUGUUAUCCAAUUGAAAGAAGACAGCAGCUUGAGAUGAACACUGAAUAUAAGAAGUGGGCAAUUGAAGUGAUGGUUUACAUGAAUAGAUCAGAAAAUGUCAUGGUGACUAAUAGAGGCAAUAUGAAGGAAGUGAGAGAAGACAAGGUUAUAGUUUAUAAUAUUGCCUGACUGUCAUUGACAAAAAUAGCAAAAUAGAAGUCUUUUCCUCCCUUUGUUUGAGGCAGGGUAUGGAUACAAUGAUGAAUUCAAUUUUGAAUGUGUCAAAUUUGAAAUGUUAUGAGAUAUCUAAGGAAGAUGUCCAGUAAGCAGCUUACUAUACAAACCUGGAGCUCAGGAGACUUAAAUGUAGAAGUGGAUAUAGGAGAAAGUGUAGCAUUAUCAGAAAAGAAGGCUUGUAGCUUGGAAGGAGUAGGAUCUGGAUAAUUACCAAUAUGUAGGGAAUGGGCAGAAGAAAAUGAGGUCACUAAUAACAAAUCCCCCAAAACAAAAUGUUUCAAGAUAAAGGAGGAAAACCAGAAGAAACUGGUACAACUAAAGCUAAGCUACAAAGAACAUUUCAAAGGAUGGAGUGGUAAAAUGGUCAAAUGCUAUAGGGAAGGCAAAUACAAUUAAAAAGAAAGUAUUGGCUUUAAAUUUAACAACAAAUGUGAUUAUUCUUUGAUGGCUUUUAACAUAGAAUUAUUUGCAAAUGAUAGUGGAGUAGUGAGAUGGUGGGAGAAGAAUCAAUGUCUCCAUGGGUUAGUGCCAUGAAAGGGAGGAAAAGCAAUAGAAACAGCAGGAAUAUAAGUUCCUACAAGUAGAUUGACUGUGAAAGUGUGAAAGAGUGGAGAGAACUGGUAGUACUUUGCCUAUGGUUAAUAUUCAGUAAAUUAUUAGUGGAAAAUGGCAAGAAAAGGCAUGUGCUACUUAAGCUUAUAAUCUGUUUUGAUGUUCUUCACUGUCCCUUUAUUUGUUGGCAAAGCUUCUCAACUUACCUCUUGGCAUGGUAUAAAUUGCAUAAGAAACUACUCAGAAUUUCAGAUUGAUACUUGCCUUCAAUUGUUUAUGAAGGAACCAGACAGUAAGUUCCUUAGCAAUUUCAGUCAUGCGUGGAAAUUCUACCUAAGUUAGCUGUACAAGUAAGAAGUCUGUUAUUAGGAAAUUACAUUGUAUUCCAAAAGCAUGCCUAUUCUGGCCACUCUAUUGUAAUACUAGAGAUGCUUUCUAUGCCUGAAAACAAUUUUCAUGCUAAGAUGUUGAGUGUACACCAUGCAGCCACAUGAAACUAGGUAUUUUACAUAUUAUUACAUUUUAAUCCUCAUAUCAACAAUGUUGACUGGUAUCAUAUCCCUCAUCUAAAACAUCAUAAUAUGUUUUAGAUGAGGAAACCAAGUAUCAUGCCUAGGGUUCCAUAUAAAUUGCAGAACCAUAAUUUGUACUUAGGCACAUAUAGUGAGGCAGGAUAUUAAAGAAAGAAAAGCAAAAUAAAAAUUAAAAGAAAAAAAUAAAACAAGCUGCCUGUGUUAGGCAGACUCAUUUCAAAGGCAGUAACAGGCAAAGUUUUGAUAACGUUAUCUAAGGGCCAGAGCUCAAAGGGAUGUGCCCUGAAGACUUUCCCAGCACUCCCUCAAUAUAGAGAUGUGAGGAGAUAAGUUCUCCUAUCUCUCCUUUAGUGUAAGUAAACUUCCCCCUCGAAUCCCAUGCCGUCUGCUAUGUAACUAUAUCUUGCUCCUUGCUCUGUAAGUGUUAUGAGUUCUUGUUUUCCCUAUAGUUAAUGAUUGUAGGUUCCUGCUUUUUCAUCUAAGCAGUGUAACAAAGGUCACCAGACGUGCCUGAGCAGGUCUAGCUUACAGCCAGCUGGACGCCAUGGUGGGGGGGUCGCAAGAUGAGUAUUUGUGAAACUCCUUUGAACUUUGAACUAACCCAGAUAAUGACCAUCUGGGCUGCAUAGUAAGGGGUAUACUAAACCUGAGUUAUAUGCCUGGCAUAGCCUGAUUAAGUGCCUUUGUCUUGUUUCUGUACAUUUGUUUUCGCACCACUUAGGAGUAGGUAUAUGAGCAAGACCUUGUCUUUGUUCGGGGCCCAGUCUUUGGACAUUGAGUCUGCUGUGUCUGAGUGCACUCAAUAAAGAUUCUCCUGCUUUACUCCGAGGUCUCUCUUGCCCUCCUGAUUUUUCUGCAACAUUUCUGGUGCGCCAGCCAGGAGGGAGAGAUGACAGAUUGGCUGUCUCCUUUGCCUGUGGGUCUGGGGCUCCCAGCCAUGGGAGAUCAGUUACCCCAAGCAUGCCACUGGGAGAACCUCAACCUGAAGGGGAGAUCGGCUCUCCUGCUUCUCCGGCGCCCCUCCCCUAACAGUGCAACAGAACCUGGAAGGGGUUACAGGACAAUCCCAGAAGCAGCUCUACUGAACUGUGGUAAGGUUUUGGGGCUCAAGGCAGGACCUGUCCCGUAAGGACAGAAGAGGAGCUUGAUCACCUCCCGAGGUAUAACCACUAAUUUGACCCAGAGAGGCUGGAGGUGAGAGUGGCUCUGCAAUUCAGAUGAAACUUAUACCCCAACUGACAUGGUAUGUGAGAGAGGAUUGCUAAGUCAGUUAGAAAAGGGAACUGGGAGAGGGGAAGUGUGUGAAACUGCGUGAGAGAUGGUUCUGGGAGGGACUAACGCAGGAAGUAAUGUGGGGAGACACAGAUCUCUUAGUGUGGACUGUGUGCUCCGAGCGGUGUGGGACCGACCUGGGCUAGUGACAAUCCACAUCUGGCUAAUAGGAGCUGCCCCCUGGCUGCAGCAUCCGUGGUGGGAAUAAGGAACUCUCCUAGCUAAGCAGCAUCUGAAAACUCCCGUAAUAGGAGACGGUCUGGUCGGUCAGAAAAGAAAGAGCGAGUGCACAUCGUAAAGGGAGGAAAUGUGGGGACAGUUGUUGAAACCCACUCCAUUGGAAUGUACGUUAAAUAAUUUUAAGAAAGUUUUUUCAGGGGAUUAUGGAAUUAAACUGACCCCCCAAAGGUUGAGAACUCUCUGUGAAUUAGAAUAGCCCUCUAUUGGUGUCAGUUGGCUGGCCGAGGAUAUUAUAGAUAGGGAGACAAUAGGCCGGGCAUUUAAGGUGGUGACCAGGGUCGGGGGACAGCAAGGGUAACCAGACCAAUUCCCCUAUAUCAAUUCAUGCCUCAAUAUUAUAUAAAACUGACCAGCAUGGUUGCAACCCUGUUUGGCAGCAUAUUGUAAGACACUAGUGGCCCAAGCAGCCGAACCCAAAAGUAAAAUCAGCCAUGCUGGCAGCUGCAGAGAAAAAGAAAAAGCUACAGGAAAGGCAAGAUAAACGAGUUUUACAGGCACCUCAGGAGGAAACAGAAUUUCCUCAUCCUCCUUAGGUUCCAAUCAACCCCCCUUUACCAAGACCAACUGCUUUUGCUGCUGGUUCAUCUGUGAGGCCAACUGCCCCAGCUGCCCACAAGGAGUUAAAUCCGAGUGGGUACAUGCUCCCAGCCUCACCUGAGAAGGAGGAAUCAGAGCUACAGAAAGUUAGGGCGGAAAGCCUAGAAAGUCAGGUAGGCUGUCUCAGGUCUGGCCGUGCCCAAGUCAUGCAAAUUGCUCUUCAGGAAAUGAGAGGACCUGUCUAUUAUCAAGAGCAUGGCCACAUCCAGGGGGCAGAGUGAGCUUUUGUUUACCAGCUCUUUUCAAUCACUGAUCUCAUGAACUGGAAGCAUCAUGCUCCCUCCUACACAGAGAAGCCACAGGCUUUUAUAGACUUGAUGCAGUCCAUUAUUCAGACAACCAAUCCAACCUGGCCAGAUUGGAAACAGCUUCUUCUGACACUGUUUAAUAUGGAAGAGUGCCAGAGACUGACACAGGCAGCCCUCCAGUGGCUAGAAGCAAAUGCUCCUGCAGACACAGUUAAUGCCCAGGCAUAUGCGCAGGGCCAGUUCCCUGAAACAGACCCCAAUUGGGACCCAAAUGACGCAUCCCAGCUGCAGCAUCUGCAGCAGUACUGAGAGGCAAUCCUGCAUGGGCUAAAAAAUGGUGGGAGAAAAGCAGCCAAUGCAGGAAAAAAUCUCAGAGGUGCUCCAAGGAGCAGAUGAAAGACCAAGCCAGUUUUACGAAAGACUUUGUGAGGCAUUUCGGUUGUACACCCUGUUCAACCCUGAGGCUACUCAAAAUCAGCAUAUGGUAAAUACAUCAUUCAUAGGGCAGGCCCAGGGCAAUAUUAGGUAAACAUUGCAGAAGAUGGAAGAUUUCAUGAGCAUGAAUGCUACUCAGCUUAUUGAGGUAGCCACCAAGGUGUACAUUAACCAAAAUCAGGAGGCAAAGAGGGAGGCUAAUUGAAGGCUUAAGAAAAAGGCUGAUUUGCUGGCAGCAGCCCUUACAGGAAGGGAAGCUGGCUUUGCAAGGGGACACAAACAUGGGUGUGGAAGAGGCCAGACUGGACAGGGAUUUGAGAGUUGGCUGAGACUAGAAAGAGAUCAAUGGACCCAGUGAAAAAGGAAAGGACACUGGAAGGACAAGUGUCCAGAGAAUGAUAACAAGGAGAAUGGUCUGGGCCAUCGUAUGGGAAGGCCACCAGCAGGGGGAUACCACACCCAGGACUAACCACUGAUCUGAUUGGACUGGCAGGGGCUGAGGGAUAUGAGGACUAGGACAGACCAGGCUCCAUCUCUUUGGGCCUCCAGGAGCCUAUGAUCACUUUGGAAGUAGGGGGCCAGUUGAUGGACUUUAUGGUAGAUACUGGGGCUGAGCAUUUGGUAGUGACCUGACUUAUAGGGCCACUAUCCAAGAACUGUGCAACCAUUGUAGGAGCCAUUGGAGUUUCAGAAAGAAGGCCUUUCUAUCGGUCAAAGAGAUGUGUAAUAGGAGGACAAGGAGUCCAACAUGAAUUCCUAUACCUUCCAAAUUGUCCAGUUCCUUUGCUGGGAGGAGACCUACUUCAAAACCUGCAGGCACAGAUUACAUUUGGGUGGCAAGGGAAUGUAACUUUAAACCUAGCUCACCCAUAGGCUAUGGUGUUAACCCUUACUGUCCUGAAAGCUGAGGAAUGGAGGCUAUAUGCAGAAAAGACCCUGGAAGCAGGAGUAAAUGAUAUGCACACAUUACUUACUAAAAUUCCCAGAGUUCGGGCUGAAAGUAACCUGCUUGGACUGACAGUAAAUCAGGCACCAAUUGUAGUGGACUUAAAACCAGGAGCAACUCUGGUUUGGGUCCAUCAGUACCCACUACUACUUUCCAAGGCCAUAUGGGGAAUCCACAAACACUUAGAGCGACUUCAUAAGCAUAGAAUCAUAGUCAAAUGCCAGUCACUGUGGAAUACCCCUCUCUUGUCAGUGAGGAAGCUGUCUAGUGAAUAUAGGCUAAUGCAGGAUUUGCAUGCGGUAAACCAAGCUAUAGUGACCAUCCACCCAGUGGUGCCAAACCUGUAUACUUUAAUGGGACAUAUUCCAGCAAGUGCCACUUGGUUUUUACAGUCCUAGAUUUAAAGGAUGCAUUUUUCUGCCUCCAGCUGGCACCGAUUAGUCAGACUAUUUUUGCUUUCCAGUGGGGUCAAUCACAGUACACUUGGACAAGACUCCCACAGGGAUUUAAGAACUCUCCCACAAUCUUUGCAGAGACACUGGCCUCAGAUCUUAAAGACUGCACCUCACCGAGCAGUGACUGUGUCUUGCUCCAGUACAUUGAUGAUCUCCUUCUAGCAGCCCCAACCCAAGAGGACUGCUAUCAGGGGACUCCUGCACAUGUUAUGGAAGGCAGGAUAUAAAGUGUCAGGGAAAAAGGCUCAAAUCUGCUCUGAAAGUGUCCAGUGUUUAGGCUUCUAUAUAAGCCAAGGGAAAAGAUGGCUCGGUAGUGAAUGGAAGCAGGCUGUUUGUGCACUUCCUACUCCAACCACCUGGUGACAAAUAAGAGAGUUCCUAGUGUGUCCAGAAUUGGUUCCUUCUGGUGGGUUCUUGGUCUUGUUGACUUCAAGAAUGAAGCCACGGAAGCUUGCAGUGACUGUUACAGUUCUUAAAGGUGGUGUGUCCAGAGUUUGUUCCUUCAGAUGUUCAGAUGUGUCCAGAGUUUCUUCCUUCUGGUGGGUUUGUGGUCUCGCUGACUUCAGGAGUGAAGCUGCAGACCUUUGCAGUGAGUGUUACAGCUCUUAGAGGUGGCAUGUCCAGAGUUGUUUGUUCCUCCUGGUGGGUUCAUGGUCUUGCUGACUUCAGGAGUGAAGCCACAGACCUUCACUGUGAGUGUUACAGCUCUUAAAGGUAGUGAGGACCAAAAGAGUGAGUGGCAGCAAGAUUUAUUGUGAAGAGCGAAAGAACAAAGCUUCCAUAGCAUGGAAAGGGACUUGAGUGGGUUGCCGCUGCUGGCUUGGGUGGCCAGCUUUUAUUCCCUUAUUGAGGACGGUCAUCAAGGACAGGAGAUUAACACUGAGAAGGCCUCACCAGUGUCAAGGAGGAAGACAAUUUCCUGACCAUCAAUGGUUAAAUGUACCUGGGACUCAGUGAGGGUGACAUGUGCUGGCACUUGCCUCAAGCAUCCUCAGUCCUGUUGUUGGAUCAUCUGGUUGGGGGCUUCUGGCCUAAAGAACCUUUGCCCUCUGGGGCAGUGUGCCUUCCAGUGAUUGCAUCGGCAUAGCAGACAUGAAUGAGGGGUUGGCAUAGCAGACAUGGAUGAGGGGGUGGCUUGUUUCUCAUUGGACAAUCUUUUUUAAAGUGUCCUAGUAAACCACACUGAUAACAAGCCCUCACGGGUAAUUGGCCUGCUCCAUUUUCUGUCCUCUCUGAACCACCAAAGUUUGUUUGUCUGAGGGCCAUGACUAAGGCUGCGGCCUUUCUCUGAUCUCGCUUUUCCUUUUGGGCCUGUUCCUCUUGGCCCUAUUAUAGAACACCGAGGUUGCCAGGUUUAAUAAUGCCUCCAGAUUUUGUUCAGGGCCCAGGGCUCGCUUUUGGAGCUUUCUCUUGAUAUCUGUGGCUGACUGGGUAAUAAACUUAUCUUUUAGGAUCAAUUGACCCUCGAAGGAGUCAGGUGACAGGGGAGCAUAUUUCCUUAAGGCCUCUUGUAGCUGCUUGAGGAAGGCAGAAGGAUUUUCUUCCUUUCCCGGAGUUAUGGUAGACAUCAUUGAAUAUUUCAUGGGCUUUUUUCCUAAUUCUCCUUAGUCCUUCUAGAACACGGGUCAACAGAUGUUUGCGACUCCAGUCCCCAUGAUCUGAGUCGAGGUCCCAGUGGGGAUCCAUACUGGGGACAGCGUGCUGACCAGUAGGGAAUUUGUCCCUUUCUUCAGCUGUCAUUCUAUCAUUUACUUGACUAAGAUAUCAGGUAUCUCCAAACUCUCGGGCUGCAGUUAAAGCCACAUUCUUUUCAUUAAAGGCCAGGGUUUGGUCUAACAAUAGCAUGACAUCUCUCCAAGUGAGAUAGAAGGUUUGCCCUAGACCCUGUAGGACAUCUAUGUACCUAUCAGGAUCAUCUGAAAGCUUCCCCAGGUCUACCUUGAUCUGCUUUAAAUCAGAAUAGGAGAAGGGGACAUGUACCUGGGUUGAGCCAAAUUCCCCUCCCCCUACAGCUUGAAGGCGACAUAACCGAUAGCUGGGGGAUUUUUGUGGUUCCUUGGAGAUUUCUUUGCUUGUUUCCUUCUGGGAAGGGGAGAUUAGAGGAGGCUUAUCAUUAAUAGGAAGGGGAGCUAUAUGGAGGCUAGGAUAUGGGGGUAAGCUGAGAGGUCCUCCUGUGGGAUGUAAAUUGCAAGAUUUGCAUAGUUGUGUAUUCUCCUUCAAUGAAAAGAAAGCUUGGACAUAAGGUAUUUUGCUCCAUUUGCCUUCCCUCUUACAGAAAAGGUCAAGCUGCAGGAUAGUAUUAUAAUUUAUACUUCCCUCAGGUGGCCAUUUUUCCCCAUCAGAGAGAGAAUAUUGGGGCCAAGCCAUAGUGCAGAAAAAAAUAAGCCACCUCUUUUUCAGGGUUUGUGGGCCAAAUUGGUCCCAAUGAGUUAGGAUGCAUUUCAAGGGUGAGCCUGUUGGUGCUUGAGUGUUUCUCAUCUGAAAGAAAAAACCACCUGUGGUUUUGCUUUGUUUCUCCCCUGCCCAAGAACCCGCAACAGUCCCUGGACCCUGCUGAUCGGAAUAGUUGCACUCACUGACACAGCAGCAGAAACACUAGUUUUCCUCCUAGACCACAAGGAGGACCGAGGAAUGUUGGAUUUAGCAGUCCUUACCAACACAUUCUCAAAAACCUGCACCCAUGCCUGUCCUCCUAGACCACAAAAAGGACUGAGAAAAAUCAGAUUUAGUGGCCCUUACCGACACAUUCUCGAAAACCUGUUAGAGUCCUAAGCAUUCUCCUGUUAGUAUUGGAACUUUACCCCAUCCUAUAAAGAUGUUAUGUCCCCAGAAUGAAGUGGAGGGCCAUACCCUGAGGGAAGGAAGGAAUCUCCAGGGUUGGAAGAGUGACGCCUUUUUUCCUCACUUAUAUGAAUAGGAAGAAUACAGUUUCUGAGGCUCCCCAUAUCCUAGCUUCAGGAAUAGCUUUUGUUAGGCCUGCUUGUCUGAGGAGGGACCCUAAAAUUCCAGAUAAUACCCCCUACAAUGGGGCUUUGGGCAAAAAUUAUGUCUUUCCAAUUAGUGAGCCUGGGUGCCUAAAGAAGGGAAUAGAGUCCUCGAGUUUACACUAGAAAUCAUUCUUAUAGGAGGAACUAGAAAAGCACCAGAAACAGGGAGUGGUUUUUAGAAGUGGGACUAGCCUCGGAGAAGAGAGGCAAGAGGAAGUUUGUCUGACAGGCAUUAGGACCCAGGAGGCAAGGGUCAGGAUAGAUAGGAUAGAUGGGCGAGUCUCACUUAGGCGACAUGACUUUCAGAGUUUCGCUUAUGGCUGCAGGGUCAACCGACUUGUUGUCGGGACCCCGGAGCUGAAUGGCUUUCCUCUCUAUUGACACUCGGCUCAGCCCAGAAGUACAGGAAAAGCAGAAACUGGUUCCAGGGAAACCAAUGCUCCCAACUCCGAGAGUCGGGGAUUGUUAGAGAACACUUUCCCAGAAAGCCUGACACCCGUGUCUUUAGUCCAGCAGGCAUGCUAGUUGCUUUUAACUGGCCAACAGGUGCCUGGUAUUUAGCCCCCGAAUUCUAAGGAAAAAUAGGACAGAAUAGCAAGUGAAAGGGGUCUGAUGCUACUCACCACUUGGUGAUUGUCCCUUCACGGUUGCCAAAAUGUGUCCAGAAUUGGUUCCUUUCAGUGGGUUCUUGGUCUCACUGACUUCAAGAAUGAAGCCACAGACCCUCGCGGUGAGUGUUACAGUUCUUAAAGAUUGUGUGUUUGUUCCUUCAGAUGUUCAGAUGUGCCCGGAAUUUCUUUUUUGGUGGGUUCGUGGUCUUGCUGGCUUCAGGAGUGAAGCCAGAGACCUGCGCAGUGAGUGUUACAGCUCCUAAAGUGGCACAUCUGGAGUUGUUUGUUCCUCCUGGUGGGUUCAUGGUCUCGCUGGCUUCAGGAGUGAAGCCACAGACCUUCGCAGUGAGUGUUACAGCUCUUAAAGGUGGCACAUCUGGAGUUGUUUGUUCCUCCUGGUGGGUUAGCGGUCUCACUGACUUCAGGAGUGAAGCUGCAGACCUUCACAGUGAAUAUUACAGCUCUUAAAAGUAGUGACCCGAAAGAGCAACCCAAAGAGUGAGCAGCAGCAAGAUUUAUUGUGAAGAGGUAAAGAACAAAGAUUCCACAGGGUGGAAAGGGACCUCAGCGGGUUGCCACUGCUGGCUCUGGUGGCCAGCUUUUAUUCCCUUAUUUGGCCCUGCCCACGUCCUGUUCAUUGGUUCAUUUUACCGAGCACUGAUUGGUGAUUUUACAGAGUGCUGAUUGGUCCAUUUUACAGAGUGCUGAUUAGUCCAUUUUACAGAGUGCUGAUUAGUGUGCUUUACAGAGUGCUGAUUGGUGCAUUUACAAUCCUUUAGCUAGACACAGAGUGCUGAUUGGUGCAUUUACCAUCCUUUAGCUAGACACAAAAAUUCUCCAAGUCCCCACCCGACCAAGAACCCCGGCUGGCUUCACCUCUCACUAGGGGCAGCAGGGUUCUGCUGCGUCUGGAUCCCAAAUUUCUUGCUCAUGGCUAAACCAUUAUGUGAAGCCACAAAGUGAGAAAAAAGGAGCUCCUCCUCUGGGAGACUGACCAGGAGAAGGCCUUUAAAGAAAUCAAAGGACCCUUGACUCAGGCUCCAGCUUUAGGGCUGCCAGAUCUAACUAAGCCUUUCUUUUUCUAUGUCCAUGAGUGAAAAGGAAUGGCCAUAGGGAUCCUAACCCAAGUCAUAGGGUCAUGGCACUGCCUGGUGGCAUACUUAUCCAGGAAGUUAGAUUCUGUGGCACUUGGAUGGCCUCCUUGUUUUAAGGCACUAUCUGCCACUGCUCUGCUGGCACAGGAAGCUAAUGAACUGACUUUAGGACAGCAACUGACAAUCCAGGUACCGCACUCAGGUGUAACUUUGAUGGACCAAAGGGGGUACCAUUGGUUAUCAAAUCCGAGAAUGACUUAAUACCAAGGGCUCUUAUAUGAAAAUCCCUGAAUAACUUUAGAGAUUGUGAAUACUCUAAACCCAGCUACCUUGCUCCCCAAUGAGUCAGUGCCAGGAAGUGCCCUUCAUUGCCGUGUGGAUGUGGUAGAUGAAAUGUUCUCAAGCCAGAGAGAUUUGACAGAUCAGACCCUCAGGGACCCGGACAUUGAAUAUUUUAUUGAUAGGAGCGGCUUCAUUCUAGGGGGGGUCCACUGAGCGGAGUAUGCAGUAGUGACUUUGGACUCAGUAGUAGAGGCACAGUCUUUGCCUACAGGAACUUCUGCUCAGAUAGCAGAGCUAAUAGCUCUGAGAAGGGCUCUCCAGCUAGCAAAAGACCGAAAGGCAAAUAUUUACACAGACUCUAAAUAUGCUUUUCCACUUGGCAUGUUCAUGGGGCUAUUUACAAAGAAAGAGGACUUUUAACUGCUGGAGGAAAAUAAACAAAGUACAGGAAGAAAUUCUACAGCUCUUAGACACCGUAUGGGCCACAAAGCAGGUGGCAGUGAUGCACUGUAGGUGGCACCAGAGGGCAGGAACAUUAGAGGCUAAAGGAAAUAGAAAGGCAGACACAAAGGCAAAGUGGGCUGCAAUGAUGACUCCACCUUCUAAAGAGGAAGCCUUAACUAUGCCUCUCCUCCCAGAGAUCCCCCUCUCGGAGACCCUAAGCUACACUCCAAAUGAAAGAGCUUAGUUUGCUCAGGAAAAUGGAAGCUACGUUGAAGGAGAAUGGUGAAAAUUCUGCAAUGGGAGGCUAGUUGUACCUGAAAUAGUGGCCCAGAUAACGACCAUCUGGGCUGCAUGGUGAGGGCUAUACUAAACCUGAGUUAUCAGCCUGUCAUAGCCUGAUUAAGUGCCUUUGUCUUGCUUCUGUACAUUAGUUUUCACACCACUUAGGAGUAGGUAUAUAAACAAAACCUUGUCUUUGUUUGGGGCCCAGUCUUUGGACGUUGAGUCUGCUGGGUCUGAGUGCACUCAAUAAAGAUUCUCCUGCUUUACCCUGAGGUCUCUCUUGCCCUCCUGAUUUUUCUGCAGCAAUAGCACCAAAGCAACUGCUGUAUUUCCUCAUACCACAUCAUAAUUCCACAGGGAAUUAUGGAUAUACUCAGCACGGCCUUUCAGGGCCAUUUUGUUGUAAAAAGUAAAAUAAACAUUAUCCUCUGCUCUACAUUAAUUUUGCAGGACCAUUUUUUUUCACUUUUUUCUUUAUUUGUGCAAUACAUAUUCUUCUAAACAUCUCCCAUGUACAGCAGUUCUUUAUGACAAAUACAACGGUCGAGGGGGAAAGCUAAAUCAGAAAUGGAUUCCACAUUCAAAUAACUUAGGGUCUAGAAAGAAGACAAACCAUGUAAUUAAGUGACCAUAAAACAAGAUGGGGAUGAAUAAAAGUGAUUGUAGACAGUAAACACCAUAACAAAGUAGUAAAAAUCUUGCAGUACAGAACCUAGAGUAAUUCUUGACUCCUUUUCUGUUCUUUUUCUACAGACAGGGUCCAGGUUGGCAUGGUCACAGUUCACUGUAACCUGAAACUUCUACGCUCAAAUGAUCUUCCCACCUAAGCCUCUCAGUCUCCCGAGUAGCUGGGACUGCAGGUGCAUGCCAUCACGUUUGGCUAAUUUUUAGUAUUUUGUGUAGAGAUGGGGUCUUGCUAUGCUGCCCAGGCUGGUCUAGAACUCCUGGCCUCGAGUCAUCCUCCUGCCUUGGCCUCCAAAAGUGCCGAGAUUACAUGUGUGAGCCACCAAUGUCUCCUUUAUUUAUUAUUCCUGCAAACUAAGCAAAUGGUUUAACUUAGAGCCUCAGUAUCUUUACCUGUGAAAUGGUAAUAAUAGUACCUACCUUAAAAGUUGGUGUUGGAUUAAAUGAAUAAGUUACCCUGAUCUGUUUCAUUGUCUACCAACAACAGAAUUGUUGAGGGAAUUAAUUAUAUCACAAUAAUUACAUAAAACCUAAUUGAUAUUAGUUUAAUAAAAAGUAAUGUAUAAAUGUUUGUUCUUUUCCAUUGCUAUAGCUAGAUUAAUAUUGAUCCAGAGCAUAGAAGGACCAUUCUUGCUUUUCCAAGUUAUUCAAUCUGGAUAGUUCACAAGUGAGCAACUAUACAUAAUUAACAACAACCUAACUAUUACAACUAUAUAGUUCUGAUAUGUCAGUUAUAAUAUCUGUUGAUUUAAUUAUCAAACCUCAAUGUAAUGGUUAUGAGCUUUUAAUAUUUCUUUCCCAUUUACCCAAAAGCUUUAAAUUACAUUUCUUUGAUAUGACAGAAAAUAGGAAAUGGAAACUAAGAGAUUAGAAUUAAAACAUAUUUACUAUCAUAGCUUUAAUAUAACCAUGGUUACAUUGUUUAAUGCACACGUAAAAGUAGCCAGGGACAGCUGGGUAGCCUGAGGUUCCCAUGCUAGGAAGGAGAGCAUCCUGCUAAGGAUUGGAGUUUAGAGACACACGAAUGAAAGUAUCUGUCAGGAUGGAAUGAUCUAGAUAUGAUGGCCAUGGAUCUUCAUUGAUAGAGAAACUGUCUUCUGUAUUAACUGACAGGAGAAAAGUGAAGAAAAGCAAAGGAUAUUCAAAUGACAGAUAAUUUGGCUGCAUAAGGGAAGAAUAGUUCUAACUUCAAAUCCAGCCCUUUCAUAUCUGUGUCUUAAUGUUGCUCCAUGUUUUAUGCCAAUCAAAUUUGAUAACAUGAACUAAGAUUUUUUAUAAGGUAUAGUGUAUGGAAAAAUAAUACAGCCUUAUUCUUAGGUAUCAACAGACUAUUAAACAAACUGUAAUCAUAAGAUAUGAAAUUGGGUUAUUUAUUACAGUGAUAAACCGCUGAACAUUGUGUGAAAAACGUAGGAUAGUUUUGCAUUAAUUUUAAGUUUUUAUAAAUUCUAUAAACAUUGGGAUUUAUUAAAAAACAGUGUUUUAACUGAUGAUAUUCUGUUGGAAUUUUCUAGCAAUAAAUGGGUGUUUUGUUCAA